This 323-nucleotide long non-coding RNA is filed under the name Chrysolophus pictus (golden pheasant). RNAcentral's name for it is "lncRNA (ENSCPIG00010010908.1)". The record is from RNAcentral. Lineage: Eukaryota; Metazoa; Chordata; Aves; Galliformes; Phasianidae.
CUCAAUCUCUAGAGGUCCUUCCCAACCCCUGGAAUUCUGUGAUUCAUUUCUUGUCUGCACAAACAGCCCUACAAUUAACCAUAGUGUUACACUCGCUCUGCUGCUUUUAAUCAUGUUUGACCAAUAUACACUCUCUCAGGAAAAACAUGCUCCUUUCUAGAUUCCGGAAACUGAUUGCAGAACUGGUGUUGCUAGUGACCCUGCAGGACUAUGCAGCCUUCAUUUCAGGUGCUGGACACUUGCUCAGAUGGAAGGACUUCGUUCUGGCACUCCCGAUGGCCAGCUUUCAGAGGGACGGACAGAAGCCUUCUUUCCGCUCCUGA